Molecule: ribosomal RNA, 253 nt
Filed under: uncultured bacterium
Lineage: Bacteria
Description: partial 16S ribosomal RNA
Rfam family: Bacterial small subunit ribosomal RNA
Source: RNAcentral
UACGGAGGGUGCAAGCGUUAUCCGGAUUUACUGGGUUUAAAGGGUGCGCAGGCGGCUAUGUAAGUCAGUGGUGAAAUCUCUAGGCUUAACCUGGAAAUUGCCGUUGAUACUAUAUAUCUUGAAUGUUGUGGAGGUAAGCAGAAUAUGUCAUGUAGCGGUGAAAUGCUUAGAGAUGACAUAGAAUACCUAUUGCGAAGGCAGCUUACUACGCAGAUAUUGACGCUCAUGCACGAAAGCGUGGGGAUCAAACAGG